GGGGGAAGGUUUGGUAUUUUUUCUUUGUUGUUUUUGUUUUUAUUCUGUGAUGAUGUCGGGGACUCUCCAGGGACAUGUGUCACAGAGCUAUACGGAGAAGGGGGAGGUGAGGGCAGGGAGGUGGGAAAUUUGAUUCUGUCCCUGACGUUAUAGGGCAGAACAGCGGGGAGGAGGAGUGUCGGUCAGUGGAUGGAAAAGGGGACCCCGCACUCAAAGGCCCCGUGGCCGUCAUGCCCUUCCUACCUCCUGCUCCGAGUCACCGUUGGGGCUUCACAGGACCAGGCCCUCCAGAGCUGUUCAGCAUGGUCAGGCCAGCAGGCGAGCUGUUUACUUGGAAUCCAAGUGCACAGAGGAGAGCAGAACAGAGCUAUUUUCCACGGCUGCUGAGAAAGGCUUGGCGUAGAGUCAGAGAGCCUGCAUUUCUAACAAGCUCCCAAGUGAUGCCCACGGACCACACCUUGAGUAGGAGCAAGUCUAUCUUUAAUGUCCACUUCACUCUAACCAGCAAGCUGAAUUCCAAGCUCCAGCAACUCAAUUUGUUUUUGUUUUGGUACCUGGCAAUAGUUGCAUAUUUCUGCCAAUAGACGUGAUUGCUUCUAAGUUCUUUCUUUUUCCUCCCUCUCUCACAAGAAUCAUUUAAAUUCUCACUUAUCGUUUGAAAUCUGACUCGAUCCUAUGAAGAUGAAUCAGAGAUCUUCCCUUCAAGGGCAGAAAAUGAAAGAUAAAGCCAGACUGUGAUGUGAGUUCAAGGAGGGGCAGAGGCCAUUUUUAUUGGGAGGGUUGGGAAAGACUCUAUGUAGCUGAUAAUCAGUUAACAAGUAUUGAGCUUCUGUGUCUGCUGGGCACUGUUGAAGUGCUUUACAUAGUUGUCUCAUUUAACCCUCAUAACAACCCCGUGGUAAGUACUGAGAAUGACCCUCAAGUUACACGUGAGGAAACUGAAGCUAGAAGAGAAACAGAGACUUUUCCAAGCAAGGAGCAGUGCUGGGCCUUGAACUCAGGUCUCUGUUGACUGCUAGUCCACACAGAAUGUGGGCAGUAUUUCAGCUGCAUGCUUGACCAGAUCUGACCAGAUCCAACCAGACUCAGCCAGAUCCAACCAGACCCAAGCACACCUGACCAGACUGGACCAGACCCAACCAGACCUGACCAGAGUCAACCAGACUCAACAGACCCAACCAGACAAGACCAGAUCUGACCAAACUCAAUCAGACCCAACCAGACCCAGCUUCUGGGCACCUAGUUGUUGUUGGUAGGGAAAGGGGUGGGAUGGGGUUUGCAUGAGUUUAGGCUGCUUAAGCAAUUUCUCCACUUACCUUCCAUAAUUCCUCAAUCAGAAAAGGGCAGGUGGUAACAGUUUUCCACACCCAGCCCCUGGGCCCAGGAACUCAGGGCCCUUGCACGGAGCCGGGCACCUGGCUUCACACUUUUUCUCACUUGGCUACCUGUCCCAGCAUAAAUCUCUGCUGCCUGCAUCUUUUUAUACUUGUAUCGUUUUCUUAUCUCCUGGAGAACAAGCAGCGUGUCCAGCUUGGUGACUGUUUUAUUUUCUUUUUAUAGGCUUGUCCCUUAGUCAGAGCCUAGAGUAUAACUCCCAAAAUAGUGCUGCAUAGAAGAUAGUCCGAGGCUACCAAGAUUGCUACAAAUUCUAAACUUCUCAGAUUCCACUAGGUUCUUAACCAAAAUGGUAGUCAGCAGCUCAACCCAAUAGUUUUUCCAACUUGGCUUCAUCCGUUUUGUCUCACUUUUAUGGGACUGGGGUGGGAGGGGGAGAAAGAAGGAAUGGAGACUUCCUUGUUCCCCUACCAGAUCUUGGGUCUUGUCUUUCCAUUUUUGGUAUCCCCAUUACAGGAUAUUAUGCAGAUAGAUGCAUAAUAAUGUUUGUCAGAUGAGCAAAUGAAGGCAACUUGGGUGUAUUUUCUUAUUACAUCGAACGCACGGCAGCACUGAUGGCUUCUCUUGCUUGGCCCUCAAGCAGGAGAGUCACCUAGCACAGGCUUUAGCUUGUGAAGGCCCCGGAACCCUGUGGGCACAGUUACUGGGAAAUCUUUCUCUUUCACCACAUCUUCUCAGGUUCUGCAACAACAGCUCAGGAAGGUGAGAUUUUCUUACAGGGCCCAAGUGCUUGAUAUGCCAGAUGAGUUGUAGAAUGCCAACCUUGAGAGCAAUCAGGAGAAGCCCAGUCCUACUUAGGCAGCCCUGGGAUUGUAGAAUGGAAGACCUGUGGAAGGAGGAGACUCCUCUGUUCUCUGCCUUCCGGAGAAAGGGUCAUCUUAUUGUAGUGGAUAUUCUUAAGAUCAUGGAUAUCUAACCUUGGCGGCUGGGGUGAGAAAUGUGAAGGGUUCAAUGCACGUGGAAGAAUUUCCCUUCUCCAGAUAGUUUUUGUCCUGUCAUUAAAAAAGAAAGAAAGAACAUACAAAGAAAAGAAAUUAAAGAUGUACCAAGGAGCUAAAUGUGCUCAAGAAUCAAAAGUAGCUUUGAGUUGGUCAACUGGACCCAGUCGGGGGAAUGUGCCCAUUUAUUCAACUUGUGUGCUUAAGUAAGAAAAUGUUGUCAGGCCAACGUCUGAAGACUUCCUCUUAUUUCUUGAGUCUUACAAGAAAUAAGCCAAUGAGAGGUAUGCCCCCACUGCUGAGGUGACUGUUCCAGCGGGAGAGGGUCCAGCAAGAGGGGCAGCAGUUAGGAGAGGCCCCCACAAAUUCUAGCUCUGGACACAGAUGGGUGUGCUGUUGGUGUCAUGUUAUUGCUGUAGACCCAACCCUCUUCCUCUGUCUUUCCCCGGGGGCCCGUGUGAUUAAUGCGUUUACAUCAUCUCCUCUGAAGGCAUCAUCCAUCCCAGGGGAAUAGAAACUGGUGAUUGGUGCUAUUUCUAUCCCCUCCUUCAAUAAAUAGCUGCUUUUCUUUAUUUA
Equus caballus (horse) is the source of this 2909-nucleotide non-coding RNA. The record is from RefSeq and is a predicted model, not a curated record. NCBI's taxonomy places the organism in Eukaryota, Metazoa, Chordata, Mammalia, Perissodactyla, Equidae.